Molecule: ribosomal RNA, 253 nt
Filed under: uncultured bacterium
Lineage: Bacteria
Description: partial 16S ribosomal RNA
Rfam family: Bacterial small subunit ribosomal RNA
Source: RNAcentral
UACGAGGGGGGCAAGCGUUGUUCGGAAUUAUUGGGCGUAAAGGGUGCGUAGGCUGUGCGGUAAGUCACCUGUGAAAUCUCUGGGCUCAACCCAGAGACUGCAGGCGAAACUGCAGUGCUGGAGUAUGGGAGAGGUGCGUGGAAUUCCUGGUGUAGCGGUGAAAUGCGUAGAUAUCAGGAGGAACACCUGUGGUGUAGACAGCUUACUGGACCACUUCUGACGCUGAGACACGAAAGCGUGGGUAGCAAACAGG